UGUUAAAAAUUUCAUCCAUUUAUAUUGUUAAAAACUAGCAUGAUUAACGAAAUAACCAGACAAUGAAACAUGGUGUGUCAUGUAUAGCUCAUAUUGAUGUAUAGGAACUAUUUUUUAAAAGUAAAAAUGGAUGUAAUUUUUAACA
Molecule: non-coding RNA, 145 nt
Organism: Gossypium raimondii (Peruvian cotton)
Lineage: Eukaryota; Viridiplantae; Streptophyta; Magnoliopsida; Malvales; Malvaceae
Source: Rfam